This is a long non-coding RNA of Drosophila albomicans, 339 nucleotides long. RefSeq lists it as uncharacterized. The transcript is spliced from 2 exons. NCBI's taxonomy places the organism in Eukaryota, Metazoa, Arthropoda, Insecta, Diptera, Drosophilidae. The record is from RefSeq and is a predicted model, not a curated record.
GCAUUUCAAAUUGAAUCUCAAGCCAGAAAUGUAUUAAACUCUCUUGUACGAGUUUAACCGGAAACAUUUGUUUAUAGGAAAUCCCAUACACAGGCUGCUAACGAUGAAUAUACCUCAAUAAAUAAACUCAGCUCAAUGGGUGUGAGGGACUUAAGGAUUUCUAAGAAUUUCACAACGGACAUGUGAAUUUCUUUUGGCAGUUUCCACUUGAGAGGCACGUGUUCUAAAAAAGAUGGAACCGCAACGUCAGGCGGGUAGAGAACGACAACAACAACAACUACAAGACGAGUCAAAAGGCGAAAAAGAUAAUGAAAUCCAUUAAAAAUGAAUUUUAAAGCA